RNAcentral lists this transfer RNA (73 nucleotides) under Pachycondyla annamita. Its description in RNAcentral is "tRNA-Pro". The record is from RNAcentral. Lineage: Eukaryota; Metazoa; Arthropoda; Insecta; Hymenoptera; Formicidae.
CAAAAAAUAGUUCAUUAUUAAAGAAUAUUAAUUUUGGAGAUUAAAGGUAAUUUAUUUAAAUAAUUUUUUUUGA